CUAUAAAAAGGGAAUCAAUUAUAAGGAGAACAGGGUAAUUUUCUAGCUUUUCUAGCUAGGAGUAAAGCUUCAUUAUCAAUGUUAAUACUCAAAUAUUUACCACACAGUUUUUAUAUAAAGUAUGUUGUUUCAUUGUCAAACUUGACCUUUUAAAUAAUCUAACUCCUUUUUAAUUUAAAUCCUGUUUUAAUUCAUGACACUGGAAGCUAUAUAUAUAAUAACCUUUUUUUCAUUUUUUAGUUGGACAACUAGUGGUUUGAAGAGCCAGGGCCGUCUGUCAGUAGGAAGUAAUCGUGAUCGAGAGAUCAGCAUGUCUGUUGGUCUGGGAAGAUCACAAUUAGAUUCUAAAGGAGGAGUAGUUGGAGGGACCAUAGAUGUCAAUGCUUUGGAGAUGGUUGCUCAUAUUUCUGAACAUCCAAAUCAGCAACCCAGUCACAAAAUUCAGAUUACUAUGGGUUCUACUGAAGCUCGUGUUGAUUACAUGGGCUCAAGUAUCCUCAUGGGCAUCUUCAGUAAUGCUGAUCUUAAGCUUCAGGAUGAAUGGAAAGUAAACUUGUAUAAUACAUUGGAUUCAAGCAUAACUGAUAAAAGUGAGAUUUUCGUCCAUGGAGAUUUGAAGUGGGAUAUUUUCCAAGUAAUGAUAUCAAGGUCAACCACACCAGAUCUGAUAAAAAUAGGAAUGAAGCUCCAGGAAUUUUUCACACAACAAUUUG
Molecule: small RNA, 713 nt
Filed under: Pan troglodytes (chimpanzee)
Lineage: Eukaryota; Metazoa; Chordata; Mammalia; Primates; Hominidae
Description: retained intron
Source: RNAcentral